CGGGAAGAGAAGGAAUCCUGCAAAAACUGGUUGGUUGGGUCUAAGCUGCUUCUACGUGGGAUAUUCAGCCGUGGGAUUGUUGACGCCAUAUUAUCUGGCCCGUCUGAGUCUGAAGAGGAAGAAAAAAAUCCUCCUGGCUUCCAGUUUAGGUUAUUUUUUCAAUGGAAAAUAUGUAUUAAGCUGCUAUGUACAAGGCACUGAUCUGACAUAACAAGGAGGAAGACAACCAGUCUUGAGAGUGAACUGACUUCCCUGUUGCUGGACCAAGUUCCAUCGAAAACCCAUUAAGUCCCCGAAGUCACAGCAUGGAGCCUGAGUCAGUGGAGCUGCUGACAGACACUCCAAGCACCGUAUCUGCCCUAGAUUUUGAGGACACACCAAGCAAAUGUCUCAAUUAAGUCACUGAAUGAAUGUGCCAGAGAAUGUUCCACAAUUUACAUAUUCGGAAACUUACAGUCUCUUCUUGGAGGGAACAUCUCUUCUAGUUCUGGGAAGAGAGAGAGAAUGCUGGCGUCCUUGGAGGGGUUCUGGGAGGACAGGCACCAAAGGCUCCUUGCCUGCUAGAGAGGAGGGUCAAGACUGAAAACUGGAUAUUUUGGAGGUGGGUAUGGCUGAGACACAACAGUGGAUAUUGAAAGAACCUUGCCCUGGGCCUCGGUUUUUCCUCAUCCACAAAAUGAGGUCAGAUUAGAUGGUUUCUAAGGUUCCUUCUAGCUGUGAUAUUUUCUAUGUGGGGUACAGUAUACUGUGGUUGAGAGGGCUGGAUUUGGAGGACCUAGGUUCAAAUUCUGAUUCAAGAACAUAUAGGUCCCUGUAUGACCUUGGGCAAGAUAAGAUCUCUGAAUUUCAGUUUCCUUACCUCUAAAAUGAGAACAUUGAAAUCAAUGAUCUGCUAAGGGCCCCUUUAGCCCUAAAAUUGAUUUAAAGUCAGGAAACCAGACUUGAAUUUGAUAAGAUGUGUGAGCCUGAGUUAGUCAUUUCAUCUCUGUGAGCUUCUGUUUCCUCCUUUGUUAAAAGAAGCUAUGCUACCUCUCCAGUCUUCCUCAUAGAAAAUAUUGUGCCAAUCUAACAAGAUAAUAGAUUUGAAAGUGUGUGGCAAAAGGGAAAAAGUUCAUAAGGGACUGCUAUAACAAGAGAGUGGUUUUGGUCUCAGACAAUGCCCAAGACUGGUAUGUGUGGCUUAAAGAAUGAGUAGUAACUUCCAGGCCUUCUACCUACCAAUGCCUACCAGGCUUCUAAGAUCACUAGACCAGGGCAGGGAGGGCUUUGCCAGAUCUUGUUGCACUACACCUUCUCCACUGUCUCCCCUCUGCAUUUUUAGAUCAUAAACUGAUUUUUGAGGGGAGAACAGCAAAGGAGUAACUAUGUACCACAUUGGCCUGGUUGGGCCAUCAUGUAUUACUUGCCACAACUGCCCAGAAAUAUCAAACUAGGACUUAGUUACCUUUGCCAGACCUCCCUGGGUAGGCUUAAGCCUUGUAGGAAAUAGAGUCUAAGGACAUUAGGUUUCCUGACCUCAAGAACAGAGUGACUCGAUUAAAUGGAAAAGUUUAGCACUGACCAUAAUGAGCUAGUCCCAAAUCAUACCUCCAGGGGGCCGUCUGGCACAUCCCAGCCCCUGAGCUCCAACUUCCUUUCCAGCCUAAUUAUUAUAAUUGUAAUUUAAAUAGGAAUAAAACCCUAGCUCUCAAGGGGCCAGAGGAGGGAGAGCGUGGAUCUGUAGGAAAGAGGACACGGCACUCUGAGAACGAUAAUUAGAGACGAUUUAAUUUCCCUCUGUCCAGAAGGAGAUUGUCCUAGUAGCAUCUCCAUUCUUAAAAAGCUGGAGAACGAAGCUGCAUUUCUCUCUAGGAAAAGGCCUCUCUGGUGGGGGACUAGGUAAAGGAAAGAGGUGACUCGAACCUUAAAUGUACUCUUCAAAUGGUCAGAGCUCUCUGGUUCAAUUGGUAAUGAAGAUAUUGACAUUUAUAAAAUUAUAGGGGCCCCGUAUGUAUGUGAGAGUACACACGUGUGUAUUUUUUGGGGGAUGGAGAGAAACGGAGAUGAAGAGAACCCAGGUGAUAAUAUCUGUGUAUUAAUAUAUAGGCUAUCUAUAUAUAUGCCAUCUAUAUUUAUAUCUAUAUUUAUCCUAUCUAUAUUUAGGAUGAUGGGAUAAAAGAUUUAGAAACACAGUGUCCCAUAAAUCACAGCUUUAAUAACUUAAAUAUUUUGAGUUUAAUUAGUUAUGAGAGUUUAAAACUGAAUGAUGACUUUUGGGUCACCAUAUAUAGUUAUUCUCUAGCUUGUUAUCUUGUUCUAGCCUUGAUUGACCAUGGAAUGAUAAAGAGAGGAGUAGCUUGAGAGUCAGACGUAAUUUACAGUGGCAUAAUGGAAACAGCCUUAGACUGGGAGUCUAAGGAACCUGUGUUCUAGUCUUAACUUAUUUCCCAUGUGACUUGGAGCAAAUCAUUUAACCUCUCUUGUCCUCAAUUUUCUUAUUUGUAAAGUGAGGGAUUUGUAUUAGAUCCCCUUCAACAGUAAAUAUGAUGAUCUAUCCAUCAAAUUUCUAGCUUAAUUUAUGAGUUGUUAGCUUGGGUAAGUCAUUUCCCUUUUUGGGACCUUGGUUUCCAAACCUUUAAAAUAGGAGAAAUAAUACAUAUACACUUUUCACAUUAUGGGGCUGUUGAGAGGAACAAAUGAUAUCUGUUGCUGUUAUUCAGUGGUUCAGUCAUGUCUGACUCUUUGAGACACCAUGAACUGUAGCUGUGCAUGGGUUUUUUUUCUUGGCAAGAAUAUUCUGGAGUAGUUUGCCAUUUCCUUCUCUGGUGGAUUCAGUGGAUCCUUUUUGUCAGGAAAUCGGAGGUUAAGUGACUUGCCUAGAGUCACACAGCUAGGAAUUGUCUGAGGCUGGAUUUGAAGUGAAGUCUUCCUGACUCAGGUUUAGCACUCUAUCCACUGAGCCAUCCAGCUGCCUCUGACACGCAUAUCCAUGUAAUAAUGUUUGUAAAUUCCUGGAUACCUAUAAACUACUGCUGGUGGUGGUCAUAGAGACCUUCUUCUAGUGAAGCCCUGCUAGCCCAGGAAUGUCUUAUUCACUCUCUCAUUUGGGAGUUCCAAUGGCACCCCUUUUCCUCUAGGAUUCAAUUAUAACACUGCCUGAGAAACAGCGCACUUUUCUGCAGACUUGUUACAGAUCUGGCCCAGGAUCUGGGUCCUUUUGCGGAAGUGCUGCCCUUGACAGCCCAGGGAGAGAAUUAGCAGAGACUGGCUGUCUUUCCAUGGGCCAGAACUAAACAGAUUCCUGAGGACAAACUGACUAGCAGCCCCUCUCCCCAUCUUUGCAGUCCUAGCCUCCUCUCAGUCUCCACCAUUCUCUCACCACCUCCCACCUUGCCUGCAAAUGUCUUCCCUUAGGCUGUCCGCUUCUUAAGAUUAGGGACUGUUUUAUUUUAUCUUAAGAAAUGUUCUUUUUAUCUCUAUUACAUAGCAUGUGCCAUGUAAGUGCUUAAUAAAUUGUAAGUGCCACCUUGUAAAGACUUAAUAAAUGCUGCUUUGACUAACUGACUGGUUAUAUGUCAUGGAUAUAGUUAUUUGUUUGCUAUCUUCCCCCAUGAGAACGUGGGGACUAUUUCACUUUUACCUCUGCAUCCUCAGAGCUUAGCCUAGAGCCAGCACACAGUAAGGACUUAAUACAAGUUUCUUCAUUGACUUCCUCAUUUAAAUAUGUAAUUUAUGGGUGUUUAAAGGAAGCAAAUUCUCAUUAUCUGGCUCUGAGAUUUUCUCAGUUUGAAAAUUAGGCAUUAGGACUGUGAAGGAUAAUAAUAUCUCUGAGAAAAAACAGAGUUGGGUGGGAUAUAUCAUCCUGGAAAAGUAUGCUUGAUUUGGAGUCAGAGGGCCUGGGUUCAAAUGUUGAGUUUGCUACUUGCUCUCUGUUGUGAUCUUGGCCAAGUUGUAACUAUGUUGAUUGAUAUCACUUCCUGUUGAAUUCUGGGUGCUCAGGGACCAUGCAGAGACCCCAUGCACUGACACAUACCUAGUAAUGAAGACGUAAGCACCAACCAUGUGCUAACAUAUAGACACACACGUGGUCCUGCUAUAUAUCUUAGUGCUGCAAAGUCUUCAGACAGGAACAUCCAUGCAUACAAGUAAACAAAGCCUUGCACACAAGGGCAUUCACUGUCCCUGUAAACACACAUAUCCAUUGUGCGCACACAUUCUGAGGAUUCCUAGGCUAGAGAGAUUUGAGAUCAGAUGGCCUGGCCCCCCCCCCCCCUGUUUACAGGGGUUCAGUGCCAUCAGGGUGAUCUGCCUUUAUUUUAGAAGUUGAAGGUGAUAUUAGUACAUAGAAGCAGUUAAGAGGUUGAUUUUUACUAGCCGUUCCAAGCCCCAAACCCAAGUACUCUGGCUCUAAAUCUAGGAUGACAGGUUCUCUGGAGGAGGGGACCUUAGAGGCGACCUAGUCCAACUUCAUUUUACAGAGAAGGAAAAUGAGGCUCAGGAGGGUUAAGUCAUGUGCUUGAGGUCAACAGCAUGUGCUUUGUAGAAAUUUGAACCCAGGUCCUUUGCCUCCAGAUCUGGGACUCUUUCCACUGUAACCAUUAGUGACUCAAUCCACACAAACACAAAACCAGUAGGCACCCAGAAAUCCCUCCUGUCUCCCUGUCUCGCCGUCUUGUCUCUGUCGUCUGUCAGUCUGUCUUCUGUUUGUCUCUCUACCUGUGGCACAGCCAGACGGGACU
This is a non-coding RNA of Monodelphis domestica (gray short-tailed opossum), 4718 nucleotides long. NCBI's taxonomy places the organism in Eukaryota, Metazoa, Chordata, Mammalia, Didelphimorphia, Didelphidae. The record is from RefSeq and is a predicted model, not a curated record.